Potamilus streckersoni is the source of this 75-nucleotide non-coding RNA. The record is from the annotation of a GenBank genome assembly. Lineage: Eukaryota; Metazoa; Mollusca; Bivalvia; Unionida; Unionidae.
CGUUUUGUUGUCCAAGUGGUUAGAGCAUCCGCCUCAAAUGUAGGGGGUCGUGGGUUCAAACCCCGGCCAAGUCAU